This is a long non-coding RNA of Panthera uncia (snow leopard), 6592 nucleotides long. RefSeq lists it as uncharacterized. Lineage: Eukaryota; Metazoa; Chordata; Mammalia; Carnivora; Felidae. The record is from RefSeq and is a predicted model, not a curated record. The transcript is spliced from 3 exons.
CCAAAGGAGGACGUGAGGGCUGGCAAUUAAAAGUGAUUUAUAAAACCCCCAGGAGGGGAAAAGAGGGUCAUCGGGAAGAACGAUCUUUGGCGAUCCAUUUAUAAGCCCAGCUAGCAGGCAGGAACUCUGGUUCACCCUUGACAGUGAGCGAGAGCCAGUAUCUGUUUCAGGGAGGGCUUGUCGCUCAGGCUCACUUCAGUCAGAGCCUCUGCGGAUGACCCUCCUGUUCGACCUUCUGUGCUCAGGGCGUCGGACUCCUUCCCCGGUGGCUUGAUGUCCUAGGACGUCCUUUGCCAGUGCAUCUGGGAAGGGGAGGCUUUUUCCUCCUCCCAAGUCAGGGGGUCAGUGAGUAUCCUAUUACCCCUCUUACAAGCUUGCUCUCCUACAAAAUGCAAGCGCUUCCGUAUGUAGUUCUGUCCAUUUUUUUAAAGAGGUGCCAGGCUCAUAUUUGCGACUAGCCUCUCCCGCUUCUUUUCUCUUCCUUUUUUUGCCUUCCCCUUCCCUCCUCUUCCUCUCUUCCUACCAGUGCAAUUUAGAGACUGGAAAUCAAGGAGGAAAUGGAAGCUUGCCCUUAACACCUGCAGCGGGACAACCCAGUGAUCGUGCUGAUACUUUCUGGUGACAGAAUCUAGUGUGGGAGCCCACUCGUGGUGGGGGAGCCCGGGGACGAGUUGGUCUGGGCGGGAGAUCACUGAUUUGCGGGGCUUUCCCCCAGCCUCACCAACACCCGGAGGCCCGUGAGCUGCAGCGGUGCAUGUCUCGACCCCGGAGAGGGCCAGAGCGAGAGGGUGGCCCCACGGUCAUUGUCACCCGAGCAACUUGCUUUGAUAGAUGCCUUCAUUCUUUCAGGCUGCCCGGAUACCAAGGGGCUUGAAUUAAUAAUUGACUAAAAUUCAUAGGCCAGUAAUUGUCUACAUGAAAUGUGGUCUGGUCUUCAUUUCAACUUGACGGUUCUUGUUCUCCUGCUGGAUUUUUUUGUUGUUGUUGGUUCUGAGGAAACAUUAGAAGGAUGUGGAUGGGUGUGCCCUAAGUGAUUUGUGGUUUAGCUGUCUCCUUUUAAGUGAAAAUACCCGGCAAACAAAAGGCCCAGCCUGUAGGUCCAGAAAACGAUUUGCAGAAGUCCAGGGUCUGGUAAUGGGAUUUAGCGGGUACAGGAAUAAGACAGGCUAAAGGUUGGUUGAGAAUAAAGUUAAUAUUCAGUACUGUAUUUAUAUUUAUUUAUGUAUUUGUUUUGUUAUUAUUUUUUAAGCGUUUAUUUAUUUUUGAGAGAGAGAGAGGGACAGAGUGUGAGCAGGGCAGGGGCAAUGAGAGAGGGAGACAGAGAAUCUGAAGCAGGCUCCAGGCUCUGAGCUGUUAGCAUAGAACCUAACACGGGGCUCGAACCCAGGAACUACGAGAUCAUGACCCGAGCUGAAGUCGGAUGCCCAACCGACUGAGCCACCCGGGUGCCCCAAGAGUGUAAUUUUGGAAGGAGAGUUGUGAUCGUCUGAUUCUGGCUUAGUUGGGCCCCCCGUGGCUUACAGCUGGGGUCUGCCAGGGGCACUGCUCCUUAAAGGGGUCAUAUCGAAUGGGGGCACCAUGAGAGGAGAAGAACCAGAUCCAUGUGGGCAUCCCAAACCACGCUGCAAGGGAAACUGGGGGAGGCCUGUGAUUGGUUCUUGGUGAAGAGAGCUGAAGGGCCAUUGGGCCGUUUGGGGGCACAUGCCCAGGCCAGGACACCAAGUGGUGCUGCCUCAGCAUGAGGGACCCCCUCCAGCAGAUCUCUUUGAGGGGAUGGAGUUUUGAUGACCACCCCAUUUGUAAGCAUCAGAGAGAAGCCUUGUCCAACCACGAGACUUGAUGGUUUUCAAAUGGACAAACCUGAUUUUAAUAAGUUUAAGUGAAAUCUGAUAAGUAGAUCAAGACGAAUCAAGCUCCUGUGUAGUUCUAAAGAGCUGCCUGGACCUAUAGCAGUGGGGUGUCAACUCUCCCUCUGCCUCAGAGACUCGUCCGGUUUGAUACAUCCUUGCAGUCUUGACCUGCCCGUGGCCUGUCUGCUAAGGCAUUUCCUCCUGCCUCUGUUUCAACGUGUCUGCUUCCCUCUCAAGGAGGCGUUUUCUUGCUGGGAGCAGAUGAUUACCUAUUCAUAACAUUUGUUGGAAUUGGUACAGACAGAAUUCAGUACAUUUCUCUCUUUUGACUUUACCAUCAAAAGCCAGAGAUGGGGAGGGCAUCUGAACUGACCCAAGUUUUGGGAGAACAGUGUGGCAGCUCUUCCUUCCUGGCUGACACUGUGGAGGGAAAUCCAAGCAGACUCCAAGAAAUCCAACAAGCAGGGUAGAAUUAAAAACCCCGUCGUUCCAAGUUUCUGAUCUGGGGCCAGAAUACAGGCCGUUGAAACUGUGUGGGCAAAUGCUCCUGCUUUUGCUUCCUGCAAGAGACACGGAGGGGCAGGGCUGGUGCCCUGGCGAGGGCCAGGGCCAGUAGCUUAAGAACAACUCUGAAAGUGGUGUAGAUGUUUUCUUAAGUCUACAAGAAAAAGAAGGGGCAGGAGGAAAAGUACCUUGAGAUUAGCUGUUUACCUUCCCCCAACCUGUUGAAAACAGGAAGGCAGAAUUGCACAGUAGAAGGAGAUGUAAUGCCGAGUCACAGAACCGUUCCUCACAUUGACCCAUCGCUUAUCCUAAAGUCAAAGGCACAGACGCCUCCACCCCCCCCCCCCACCCUGCCCCAGGGUGGACAACCAGAUUUCACUUUACUGUGUAUGGCACUGUGGUUCUUGGAGGUUGCUGGAAUGGCUGCAAGAUACCUGGGUCUGCUUCUGCCAUCUGAAAGCAACACACCGUGCUUGCUUAUUAGCUACCUUUCUUGAUUAUUAAUGACACCAUUUGGACCGAGACUCCCAGGAAGGUUCUGCUGACUUCAGCUGGCUUGGCCUGUCUGCCAGCGCAUGGACCAUAUCCCUCCCAUCUGAAGACUCUCACUAUUGGAGUCACCUUUGAGGUUGACAUUUUGAGCUAGGCUUUCCAGCUGGGUCCUAAGCCCCGGGCUUGGCCAGCCAGUGAGUAGGACCACAGAAAUGGGGAUGUGGCCCCAGAAGGGGAUCCGACCCCAGCCCUGGGACAUGAGAAUGAAAUGGAGGGGCUGUGGGCCUUGCACGCACGUGUGCGUGCAUGCGUGCCUGUGUGUGUGUGUGUGUGUGUGUGUGUGUGUGUGUUAGGAUGGAUUGGACAAGGCAGGGAGAGGAAACAAAGGAAAGAUAAAUGGUGAAGAAGAACUUGGAAAAAAUUGAAUUAGAUUUAUUCUGACAGUGUGUGGGCCUACAGCUGUAACAUUAUAAAUCACUUGCCUACAGAGGAAUUCACUUCCUGAGCCUUGCACAGCUUCAUGAGCCUGGCAUGCGUAUGAGAACAGAACCUAGCAAUCUGAGAAGGGAAAAUGACGGCUUGCACAACUGUGGCUUGAAACCACAACUGGUGAUUUGGUCAGCACAAGGGGCUCCUGGGACUCGGGCCCGGCGUGGCAGGGAGCUGAGACCGCUGAGGCAUUCACUCCCAGUACUUCCAGGAUGGGAUCUUAAAGAGCAGACUGAAAAAAGUGUUUUGUGGUGGCCACAUGGCCUUGAACUCUGGAUUAAAAAUGAAAUUAAAGGGAAUUUGGGAUCUGAGGAUGAGCCCAGGAUUGGAGCAUCCACAGAAGGUCUUUGUUCAGGUGAUCCUUUUCUAGAAAUGGGAUGUCCGACUGACCAGCACAGACCCGGGUUCUCUCUCCGAUCCUGUCUGCAAGAAUAUCCACAGCUCUAACGGGUUGGUGGGUACGUACCAUGAGCUCAGAAAUUGUGGUUGAUUUAAUAAAUGAAAAAUCAAAUCCUGGUACAACUGGGAAUUGCUCUGGUCCCCUGGGUCAACAUGACAUGAAGUCUUUCCCAGUUUUGUUCUGUAUUUUUUUAAUGAUAUUUACCUGCUAUUGUAGCUCCCUUGCACUAUAUGUAGCUUUCCACAAGUGCAGCGUUUGUGACUUCUCAGCCUGUGGAGAGCAUAGUUCCAUGCCUUGUGUGUGCCUGGCCCAGAUCCAUGUUAAACUGACUUGAGUUUAUACGUAAGUGACCAUUCAUUAGGGAGUAACAUUUCCUUGUCUAGACAAAUGAAGGAAGAGGCUCUGACACUUGCCUGUGAUGUAUAAUUGCACCUGACUCAUUAACUGGACAUUGCAAUGCUGGGGAGACUGAAGCAAGGUUCAGCUACUUGUAAUGAGAAUGGAUCCACUAAGUCCUGUGAGAACGGCAGGUCUGUGGGCCACAGGGGGUCCACUUUGUGCUACUCAACACUCAGCUCGGGAAGCAUCUAUCUACCUGCCUCCCAGUGUACCAUUGCUCAGAUGGUCAGGUGCAUUCGGGGAAUUUUCACCUCCCCUGCCAGCACUGUAAUGGCAGGUGCAGAGCAGACCUGGUCAGUUCCUCCAUUUGGGUCCUGGGUCGAUGCUGACUGUCCUUCAGAAGGUCUGUACAGCUUUGCUGCCUGAGGACACCCUGUGUGCAGUGCCCUUUUCCCUAGGUGUACAUGGAAAGGAGGUUGUACAAAGACCCAGAGAGUAGAGGCUCUGAUUUGUGGUGUUCUCAAGGGCAAGCCUGCACCUUGACAGCUUCCAGGUGUUGAGAAUCAAGUUCUUCGGAGUCACCAUCUCUUGUCCUUUUCAACUAUGCAAGGUAAGUAUUAAUUUCCAUUGACUACACUUUAUACGCAAGAUGACUAAGUUACUGAGGUGGCAAGGAUCUGGCUCAAGACUCUACAGCUUUCUCAUGGGCUUUGUAUAACCAGUACCUAGCACAACAGGUAUACGUUGAUUUCCAUUCAAUUUCAUUUCUCUUUACCUUCUCAAAUCUUUCAACUUGGUAUUUCUGUGGGCACAAGGAAACACACUCUGUUCUCUUGCGGGGCAAAGGUAAAUCUAGUGCUGAUGAUGUAGAAAAUAGUAAUUAGGAGGAUACAAAGGAAAAAGCAAAGAUUGAAGAGGGUUGGGCCUCCAGAUCUUACACUUCAAGCCCCCCCCCAUCUUUGCACAUGGAACCUUUGUUGUUCCACGUCCUCACUACCUACUCUGAAGCUCCAAGGGAGAGUCGGUUUCAUAUGUGCCUGGUGACGUCCAGCUCCAUCCAUCUGAUCAUGGACUCCUGCUCACACAGAGGCCACACAAUGCCCUAGGCCCCUCUCUGCUACCUCAGCAGAACGUUUGCGCUGCUCCCUGAGCUUUAUUUUUAGAAGCCUCCCUGGAGAGUGCAUCUACCAAUAUUGUAUUUCAAUCUAUGAUGGGCUCGGUACUCCACCUCAUUAGCUCAAGUUCAGACAGUGUGCCCUAGACAGUUGUUCCAGGGCUGGGUUGUCACUUUGGCGCAGUGUCUUAAAAGUACUGGGAUGGUCUUUGUAGUAACUUACAAUGGGGUGGGAGUAGAGAGAAGAGCCUAAUGAGAGGCCUUUGAGAUGCGCACAAUUUCUUUGCCCUUGAGUAAGACAUGCAUUUUAUUAAAUCUUUUUGCAACCACAAUCCUGCCAUCUGGCCUUGGGGCAGAAUCGAAAGAGAACUCUGCUUGAAGACCCAAGGCAGACUACGACUCACAUUUAUAUUAAAUGAGACUACACCUGUUGUUCUGGACUGCAACUGGAAUUGGAAAGGAAAUUUAUUUCCAUGAAUGGAGAAGUGUCAGAGUGAGCAGGCACGUGGCAGCGGAAGCAUGGGAAUAGUCUCACGAGAAUAACGUCAAAGCACAAUGAUUGUCAGAGACUUUAGAAGAUAAACCAACCAAACAAACAUAUAGAAGUUACAUGUGCUGUUAGUGCAGAAGCUUCCAGAUGGAUGCAAGAAUCAAAGCCUUCAAGAAGCUCAUGUUAUUUCCUACAAAUAAUUUGGAGGACACUGAGACAGAUGUGCAACACAGCAGUGUGGGGUGGGAGAUCUGGGUCCUGUUCCAGCUUUGCCUCCUGUCAAAUGUCUCACCCUGGGUAAGUCAUUUAUUCUCUAGGUGUUUCAGUUUGGUCAUCUUUAAGAUGGGAUAAUUAUAUCCACUUCUGUUGAACAGAGUCAGAGUGAGGACAUAUGUAUUUUGGUGUGUUCACGUAUAUAAGGCUGGAGAGAAAGUGGUUAAGAGGAAGCCUUUGGCCAGUGGCCUGGGCAGUUCAGUUGGCAUCUUCAGGUAUAAAUGGAGUUACUUGAAGGUCUUCCAAGUGUUUCCCUCCACAAACACUAACCUUUCCACCUUUAGAUUCUUUUUUCAGGAUCCCAUAGGAAAUUUGUGUAUUUCAUGGGUUGUUGACCCAAUGGAGUAAGAUUUCUAUUUCAAUUUAUCUCUGUUCCACUUAUGCUAAAACUCAAGUUUAGAUUGCUACUAGCUUAGAUUCAGUUAGAAUCUGUAAGUUAGAAUGCCUUUUUGGAACAUAAUGUCAUGGGUAGAAGUUUUCAGAUGAGCACAUCUUCUGUGAUUGUACGGCAUAGUCCACAGUUCACUGACCCACAUCAGCACAGAUUUGGUUACCUUUUGAUGCUUCAGGGCAUGUGGCCUUUUAGGAGAGAAAUGACGCGCUCAAGUGAGAGGUGUAGCAUAAAUAAGUUGUACUGGAGA